RNAcentral lists this ribosomal RNA (250 nucleotides) under uncultured bacterium. RNAcentral describes it as "partial 16S ribosomal RNA". It matches the Rfam family "Bacterial small subunit ribosomal RNA", at positions 524 to 773 of the family's 1533-position model. The record is from RNAcentral.
UACGUAGGGAGCAAGCGUUGUCCGGAUUUACUGGGUGUAAAGGGUGCGUAGGCGGCUCUUUAAGUCGGGCGUGAAAGCUGUGGGCUCAACCCACAAAUUGCGUUCGAAACUGGAGAGCUUGAGUGAAGUAGAGGUAGGCGGAAUUCCCGGUGUAGCGGUGAAAUGCGUAGAGAUCGGGAGGAACACCAGUGGCGAAGGCGGCCUACUGGGCUUUAACUGACGCUGAGGCACGAAAGCAUGGGUAGCAAAC